This 1580-nucleotide ribosomal RNA is filed under the name Crypturellus strigulosus (brazilian tinamou). RNAcentral describes it as "partial 16S ribosomal RNA". It matches the Rfam family "Bacterial large subunit ribosomal RNA", at positions 401 to 2925 of the family's 2925-position model. The record is from RNAcentral. Lineage: Eukaryota; Metazoa; Chordata; Aves; Tinamiformes; Tinamidae.
UGCCAACUCUAGCUCAAUCAAUCUUUUACUCGUAAACCCCUUCCUAAAUUAACUAAAACAUUUUCUUCACUUAGUAUAGGCGAUAGAAAAGUAACUAGACGCAAUAGAGACUCCGUACCGUAAGGGAAAGCUGAAAUAGCAAUGAAACAUUAAGCACAAAAUAGCAAAGACCAACCCUUGUACCUUCUGCAUCAUGAUCUAGCAAGAACAACCAAGCACAGCGAACUUUAGCUUGCACCCCCGAAACCCAAGCGAGCUACUUACAAGCAGCCAAAAUUGGGCAAAACCCGUCUCUGUAGCAAAAGAGUGGGAAGACUUGUCAGUAGAGGUGAAAAGCCAAUCGGAGCUGGGUGAUAGCUGGUUGCCCACGAAACGAAUCUAAGUUCACCCCUAAACCUCCCUAUAGGCAGAAAUCAAACUAACCUAAAUGAGACAGUUUAGGAGUUAUUUAAAGGAGGUACAGCUCCUUUAAACCAGGAUACAACCUAUGCUAGAGAGGUAAAGCUCCUUCUUUCUAACAUGUUGGCCUUCAAGCAGCCACCAACCAAGAGUGCGUCAAAGCUCCCCCUUAAAAAAAUCUAAAAACACCACGAACCCCUUACCCCUAGUGGGCCAACCUAUAAAUAUAGGAGAAUUAAUGCUAGAAUGAGUAAUUCGAAGACCCUACCCCUUCUCUUAGGCGCAAACUUACAUACUAGAUUAUUAACAGCCUGACUUAUAUAGCCACCCCACAAGACUAUUUAUUUAACCAGCCUGUUACCCCAACUCAGGAGCGCCCCCCAGACAGAUUAAAACCUGCAAAAAGGAACUCGGCAAACCUAAGACCCGACUGUUUACCAAAAACAUAGCCUUCAGCCCACACAAGUAUUGAAGGUGACGCCUGCCCAGUGACUAAUGUUUAACGGCCGCGGUAUCCUAACCGUGCGAAGGUAGCGCAAUCAAUUGUCUCAUAAAUCGAGACUUGUAUGAAUGGCUAAACGAGGUCUCAACUGUCUCUUGCAGGUAAUCAAUGAAAUUGAUCUCCUGUGCAAAAGCAGGGAUCGUGACAUAAGACGAGAAGACCCUGUGGAACUUAAAAAUCCUUGGUCAAUACACCUACUCUAUUAACCAACAUGGCCUACUCCCCUGUAUCUUGACCCUAUUUUUUCGGUUGGGGCGACCUUGGAGUACAAACCAACCUCCAAGAUUAAGACCAUCACAUCUUAACCUAGAGCCUACACCUCAAAGUACUUACAGUAACCAGACCCAAUAUAAUUGAUUAACGGACUAAGCUACCCCAGGGAUAACAGCGCAAUCUCCUUCAAGACCCCCUAUCGACAAGGAGGUUUAGCACCUCGAUGUUGGAUCAGGACAUCCUAAUGGUGCAGCCGCUAUUAAGGGUUCGUUUGUUCAACGAUUAAUAGUCCUACGUGAUCUGAGUUCAGACCGGGGCAAUCCAGGUCGGUUUCUAUCUAUGUUCUACUGCCCCGAGUACGAAAGGCCCGGGGCAGUGAGGCCAAUACUACACCACAUGCCUCCGCUCUAGUUAGUGAAACCAACUCAACUAUCAAGAGCACACCAAACCACACCCCACACCCUAA